RNAcentral lists this ribosomal RNA (753 nucleotides) under uncultured Comamonadaceae bacterium. RNAcentral's name for it is "bacterial SSU rRNA". It matches the Rfam family "Bacterial small subunit ribosomal RNA", at positions 28 to 776 of the family's 1533-position model. The record is from RNAcentral. Lineage: Bacteria; Pseudomonadati; Pseudomonadota; Betaproteobacteria; Burkholderiales; Comamonadaceae.
AUUGAACGCUGGCGGCAUGCCUUACACAUGCAAGUCGAACGGCAGCACGGGAGCAAUCCUGGUGGCGAGUGGCGAACGGGUGAGUAAUACAUCGGAACGUGCCCAAUCGUGGGGGAUAACGCAGCGAAAGCUGUGCUAAUACCGCAUACGAUCUACGGAUGAAAGCAGGGGAUCGCAAGACCUUGCGCGAAUGGAGCGGCCGAUGGCAGAUUAGGUAGUUGGUGAGGUAAAGGCUCACCAAGCCGUCGAUCUGUAGCUGGUCUGAGAGGACGACCAGCCACACUGGGACUGAGACACGGCCCAGACUCCUACGGGAGGCAGCAGUGGGGAAUUUUGGACAAUGGGCGAAAGCCUGAUCCAGCCAUGCCGCGUGCAGGAUGAAGGCCUUCGGGUUGUAAACUGCUUUUGUACGGAACGAAACGGCCUUUUCUAAUAAAGAGGGCUAAUGACGGUACCGUAAGAAUAAGCACCGGCUAACUACGUGCCAGCAGCCGCGGUAAUACGUAGGGUGCAAGCGUUAAUCGGAAUUACUGGGCGUAAAGCGUGCGCAGGCGGUUAUGUAAGACAGUUGUGAAAUCCCCGGGCUCAACCUGGGAACUGCAUCUGUGACUGCAUAGCUAGAGUACGGUAGAGGGGGAUGGAGUUCCGCGUGUAGCAGUGAAAUGCGUAGAUAUGCGGAGGAACACCGAUGGCGAAGGCAAUCCCCUGGACCUGUACUGACGCUCAUGCACGAAAGCGUGGGGAGCAAACAGG